GGAAAUGCGUAGAUAUCGGGAGGAACACCAGUGGGCGGAAAGCGGCUUUCUGGACUGUUUCUGACACUCAGACACGAAAGCUAGGGGUAGCAAACGGGGAUUGGAGACCCCGGUAGUCCUAGCGGUAAAGGGAUGUGAACUUGGCGUCGGCGGGUUCAAAGCCGUGGGUGCCGUAGCUAACGCGGAUAAGUUCACCGCCUGGGGACUACGGCCGCAAGGUUAAAACUCAAAGGAAUUGACGGGUCCCCGCACAAGCAGCGGGAGCGUGUGGUUUAAUUGGAUGUUACACGAAGAACCUUACCCAGGUUUGACAUGUUGGUGGUAGGGAAGCGAAAGCAGACCGACCCGCAAGGGAGCCUUCACAGGUGUUGCAUGGCUGUCGUCAGCUCGUGUCGUGAGAUGUUCGGUUAAGUCCGCCAACGAGCGCAACCCUCGCCGUAUGUUACAAGUGUCAUACGGGACCGCCGGUAUCAAGCCGGAGGAAGGUGGGGAUGACGUCAAGUCAGCAUGGCCUUUAUAUCUGGGGCUACACACACGCUACAAUGGCCGGUACAAUGGGUCGCUAAGCCGCGAGGUAGAGCCAAUCCCUAAAGCCGGCCUCAGUUCAGAUCACAGGCUGCAACCCGCCUGUGUGAAGUCGGAGUUGCUAGUAAACGCGCGUCAGCUAUAGUGCGUUGAAUACGUUCCCGGGGAUUGUACACACCGCCCGUCACGUCAUGGGAGCUGGCAACACCUGAAGCCUGUAGCCUAACCGCAAGGAGGGCGCAGUCGAGGGUGGGGUCGGUGACUGGGACGAAGUCGUAACAAGGUA
Molecule: ribosomal RNA, 811 nt
Filed under: uncultured bacterium
Lineage: Bacteria
Description: bacterial SSU rRNA
Rfam family: Bacterial small subunit ribosomal RNA
Source: RNAcentral